This 142-nucleotide small nuclear RNA is filed under the name Carlito syrichta (Philippine tarsier). RNAcentral describes it as "U4 spliceosomal RNA (ENSTSYG00000029120.1)". It matches the Rfam family "U4 spliceosomal RNA". Rfam says of the family: U4 small nuclear RNA (U4 snRNA) is a component of the major U2-dependent spliceosome. The record is from Rfam by way of RNAcentral. Lineage: Eukaryota; Metazoa; Chordata; Mammalia; Primates; Tarsiidae.
AGCUUUGUGCAGUGGCAAUAUCGUAGUCAGUGAGGUUUAUCCAGGGAGCAAUUAUUGCUAACUGAAAAAAUUUCUCAAUACCCCACUAUGACAACUUGAAAUACAGUUGGCAUUGGCAAUUUUUGACAGUCUCUAUAAGAGA